UCAUCCUACAGGCCUUGGAGGGGAGCAAGGGGCGACCCCGCCAGGUGGCAGCGUUCUCGGGGCACAGAUGUAUCGCAACCGCUCUGUCCACCUGGGGGACCCCCGUGUAACCGUGGGCCGCUCCGCCGUCGAGGGUUCUGAGAGCAGAUGAGCGAGAGGCACGGUGACGGGUGGAGAAGGGUGUCCUCCACGAGCUCAUCAGCUCAUCAUGCACUUCCGGGAAGAAAGACAUGCACUUCCAGCUGUGAGCAGUGCACAGACCCGAGGAACCAAUCAUCCAGCCGCGAAGACUGUAGGGAGGACGGAGGGUUCCAGUCCAACCCCAUGCUGACGGCGCCCCGGGCAAGCAUGUCGGACAUCUGGUCGUCAGCCUCUGCCUGGGCAUGCUGGCCCGAAGGCAGCAGCCCAGUUGAGUCAUCCGCGUCAGACGCCGGACCACUCUCCGAUGCAGCGGCGAGCUCAUCCAGCUCGGGGGGCUCAAGAGGAUAGGCAGGCAGACUGGCUGUGAGGCGAGCCGCUGUUCUCUCAAGCCCGGACGGAAGUCAAUGGGCGUGUUGGGGGUGGGUGGUUUGCAGGGACAUACCCGGCAAAACCGAGCCCGCUGCCAUCCCCAAAUCGCCUUCAUCGCCAAUCGGGUCGUCCUCAAUCUGGUGGGAAGAAGGAGCGACGUGGGGGGCAUAGUGUGGUUUUCCUUCUGAGGAAGGAAAGCCGCGACCGCAACGUUCCCAUGGUCAUGUUCUCGCAGUGAGAACAUGAGCCAUCCACAAACGCUGCCUCGGUGUCAUGGCUGCCCAGACACACGAGAUGGCGCCUGUGGCCAUCAGGAGCGGAGAGCACUCUACUGCAUCCAGGAACUACACAGGGGCGGAAGGGCAUCUUUAUAAAGACGCGUCCUGAAAAGGCUGUUCAACGCCAGCCACCCAGUAUUCCCCUCCAAGGCCUGUAGGACAACAUGACUGCGGAUGUGCGGUCAUGACAGGUCUCGCUUAACAGAGAAUGGAGGCUCCACCACCAGGUGGUCCAGCUGAUUUGGGGCACAGGUAGAUCUAUUUGCCUCCAAAGACAACUCCCACUGCCCACUCUGGUACUCCCUAACGGAGGCCCCUCUCGGUACAGACACGCUGGCACACAGCUGGCCCCGGGGGCUGCACAAGUAUACAUUCCCCCAGUGAGAAGACUUGCACUGGUUCUGUGCAAGGUCAGGGAGGACGGGGAACAGGUCACCUUAGUGGCUCAUUACUGGCCCACUCGGAUCUGGUUCUCGGAUCUCAUGCUCCUUGCGACUGCACCUACCUGGCAAAUUCCCCUGAGGAAAGACCUCCUUUCUCAGGGACAGGGAACCCUCUGGCACCACACCCAGACCAGUGAAACCUCCAUGUCGGGCCCCUGGACGGGACGCGGAAGACUUAAGUGGUCUACCACCUACAGUUGUAGACACGAUCAACCGAGCCAGAGCUCCCCCAUGCAGCUUUACACCCUCAAGGGGCAUCUGUUCGCAAAUUGGUGCUCUUCCGGAUCUGAAGACCCGCAGAGAUGCGCAGUUCUGUUAGUGCUUUCAUUCCUGCAGGAGAGGUUGGAGGGGAGGCUGUCCCCCUCCACCUUGAAGGUGUAUGUUUCUGCUAUCGCAGCCCACCAUUGGACGGCAAGUCCCUUUCUAAGCAUGACUUGAUUAUCAGUUUCCUUAAGAGGUGCCCAGAGGUUGAAACCUUCCCGGCCAAGCCUGUUCCCCUCCCGGGAUCUCUUAGUGGUACUCUCAGGCCUUCAGAGACUCCCUUUCGAGCCGCUUGAAUCAGUUGAGCUCAAAGCCCUCUCCUUGAAGACCGCCCUCCUGAUCAUGCUCGCUUCCAUCAAGAGGGUUUGGGACCUGCAAGCAUUCUCUGUCAGCGACACUUGCCUGGAUUUCGGUCCGGCAGAUGCAACCGGCUAUGUGCCCUAGGUUCCUACAACCCCCUUCAGGGUUUAGGUCAUGAACCUGCAAGCGAAGCUGCCCCGGGAGGAGGCAGACCCAGCCUCUAUGUUGCUGUGUCCGGUACGUGCUUUGCGUAUCCAUGUGGAUCGCACGCUGGGCUCUAGAUACUCUGAGCAAAUCUUUGUCUACUUUGGUGGACAGCGGAAAGGGAACGCCGUCUCCAAACAGAGGUUGGCUCAUUGGAUUGUUGAUGCUAUCCCCUAACCUAUCACACCCAGGCCGUGCCCCCCCCCCCCCCUUGCGAGUUCGAGCACACUAGAAGUAUGGCAUCCUCGUGGGCACUGGCCCAUGGCACCUCCCUAGAAGACAUCUGGGCAACACCCAGCACCUUUGCUAAAUUCUACAAAUUCAGUGUUGAGUCUGUCUCGUCCCGUGUUUUGUCAGAUCCGAGCUGGUAGAACUCGGUAAUACGCUUGCAUCUUGCACCCUUCACCAAGCUGAUCCAGUGUGCCUUCUUUCCCAGGUUAGCCACUUAGCUCUCGCUUCCUGGAUGCUCUUCCUCCCUAGCCCUAUGGCCGACAAAUUCAGUGGAGGAAUUCACCGCCAGACCCACCCCGAGUUGAGUGCUGCGUGUUGGGUUUGGGCUCCACAGGCCUAGUUCCCGCUUCAGGCAUCUCCCUUUGAUAUUUUCCGCAAUAUGGUCCACCUGCUGGCAGGACCCGCAUCUCCCUUGGGCAGUCCUCGCUGCCCCGGAGCUGUGUCUUACGUGCGGCCGACCCAGCUGCUUCUAGCACGCAGCAGCCUGCUUGCACCUGGCUCGGCAGUCACGUAACAGGGGUAGUGCAUGGCGUUUUGAAGUGGGACCCCUUGUGUCACUACAAUCAACACAAUGUCGAGUGAGUGACAGAAGGGGAACGUUAUGAUUACUGUUGUAAACUCCGUUCUCCGAUGGAAGGAAUAAGACAUUGUGUUCCCUUUGCCACGUCACUAUCCUUACCACUGUAAGUGGUGAAAACCUGUUUGACAUUCACUCCCCCGCUCCCCUUUAUACCCGUUUGUCCGAGGGCGGGGCAUGCAAAUUCUGUCUGCCAACUUGACAUUGGCCUUUUCUCAAGUUCAGAGGUACGCGAGGCUCUCAGAAGAGACCCCUUGUGUCAGUACAAUCGACACAACGUCUCGUUCCUUCCAUCGGGGAACGGAGAUUACAACAGUAACUAUGACAUUAACCUAUUGAUACGCACCCCCUUUUUGAGUACAAACCAUGAAAAUGACAUACCUGAACUUCAAUGGUUGUAUUACUGGACCCUUUGGAGUAUGGACACCUUUUGAAAGAAGACACGUUGGGCUUUAUUUCCCAAGUUUCAGAAUUAAUAUAUGUUGUUCAUUUUUUUAAGUUAGAGAAGCUGAAAUGUAUAGCAAGUACAAAGACACAAGUCUAAAGAAGUUAUGUUUCAAAUUUGAAGAUGAUCUAACAAAAAAUGAGGUUCCUGCAAGCUUUUUUCUCUGUAAAAUCGCUGCUGGUGUACAGAGUAAAAUUAAGGCUUCGCCUUUCAAGAUGACACAAAAUCUGACUGCACUGCUUGUUACAUAUUAUGAAUAAAACUAUGCCGUAUUUUUUAAAAUAGACUUUGGAGACAGACUUGUUUUGUUUAGGAGACUCUAAUAUAUAAGAUAUUAUACAGUUUUACAAUAUGAAUGCUGCUCAGAUUGCGUAGUUUGUUGAAGAAUGAUGAUGAAGGGUAAUUCUUUCAGGCGACAUCUCAUGUAAACAAUGGAGAAUAUAUCAAUAUUUCUCAGAUUUAUCACUUUUAUAGACAAAAAGUGCUAUUGGAUGUUUUUCAAUGAACGCAUGUCAUGAACAAUUGACCCAAGUGUGUUGAACUGGAUUCAUCAAGCGAUCGCGUUUUCAUAACAAAUGUAUGAAGUCCCGUUUUGAUAUUGCAAGUUUUCAUUUGUACUCCUGGCACAAAUAACUAAAUUGCUGUUACUGGAGCAUUGCUAUCGUGAAACAGAGAUCAGAUAUCAAUGUUGAACCUUUAGACCUUUGAAAAUAUGUAUAAAUUGUUAACAUAAAUUACAUAUAUAGAUGGUAAAUUAUAUAUUAAAUUUAAAUAGUGACGUCACUACCGCAUGCGGGGGUUUUGCUUAUCAACAGGUUAAUCGUCAUGAUUCUAACUUCGGCAGUAAUAUUAUCUGUUUGCCCUUGUAUACUGAUUAUGAUAAAUUGUGUCUGGAGCAGUGUUUAAAUAAAUGCAGUGGAUACAUUUAUUGUUAGUUAACAUUACUUUAGUAAUUAAAGAUUUGUCAUCCUCCUCAACUAAAUAACAUUAGACGGAUCUUGGAAUACUCCAGUGCAUAUAUCUGCGAGUGUGUGUGAGCAAGUGAGUUUACAGCAGCGGGUGAGCUGACUGAACUGACUUGAGCUGACUGGCGUGCGAGAGAGAGCAGAAAAUGCAACCUUUUAUUUGAUGUUAUUACGAGACUGAGAAGUGCAAAAAUAUUUAGGAUGAUAAGUGUAAAAAUGUUUUCGGUUCAUUAUGAGACUGUGACGGGUCAAAUUAGACUGUGGCGGGCCAUCAGCAUCCAGUUAAGUAAUGGGAAACACUGGUAUUCUGUUAAGUCUGUCAUCCACUAGAUGGUACCAUGGAGCACCAUAAUGCUUUUCCUGUGAGUUAAUUGAUUCUGGUUCCUAUUCUGGUAGUUGCUAAAGAUAAUUAAUGCUAAUUGUUGGUUAAUUCUAAUGUUAGUCACUUAAGUGUUAAAAUGAUAUAAGACCAAAUAAAGUUCUUUUUGAGAAAGAGUCUGUUAUUAUUACUUUUUCCAACUACUGUGUCUAGCCUGGUCCAAACUCAGAAAUCCCUGCUCUGAAUGUCCUGAAUAAAACCUCAUUAAAUCAUAAAACAUGCGUCAAUGUGCCUGAAUCAUCUGGCCACCUGUCAAACAAGCAGUAAAUGUGUCUUGUGGAGUAUCUUACUGUUGCCAGGACAUGCCCUCCAUCCAUAACUGAGCUGAUAUUUCUUGAAAACCUACUUGUUUGGCAGGGUUAAUUACAUAAAACUGGGGUGGGGAAUGGGGGGAUGGGUGGUGUAUUUAAAAAAUAUAUACUUCUUUUGUACCUCAAAACAUAAGUGAAUGCCUCUGAACACAUUGAGCAGAUUAAUCAAAAAUAAUUUCUUUAUACAUAAACUUAUAUUGUCAGUUUUGUAAAGAGUUUUGUCCCAGCACUCAUUCAGUUAGCUAUAAAACAGUAAGUAGAUUCAGUAGCAUAUGAGAUACAAAAUUGAAACCUCCAGCCCUUUGGACUCACUGUAAAAAUAGAUUCUCAAAGUAUCAUUUGGGGUCCCUUAAUAGCCAAAUUGAUCUCUGACCUCUGGAGAUUUUUCAGGCACUCUUUUAGGUCUCUGAGGCCACAUCCACAUUCAGUCUAUUUGAUAAGUUUAUGCCUCUCAUCCGGAGACUUUUGAAAAUGCUCUCCAUAACCACAUACUUUGGAAAAGUUAUGUAACUGAAAACAGAGGCUUCAAACUUAAAUGGAUUAGUGUGGACGUAGCUUAAGAGACCUAGAAAAGGUGCCUGGUGGAUAUCCAAAGGUUCCAACUGAGGAACCCUAAAAAGAGUAUCUUUUAAUUUUUACAGUGUUUGCUUUUGCAAGUUAUUGAAUUCUGACUGUCAUAUACAGGCCUGAUAUUAUCAAUACUCACUGUUAGAUUACUUACAUCUGCUUGCCUUGAGCCAAUGACUGUCAAUGUCAGGAAGGAAGAACAUUGUGACAAAAUUUGAGGGUGUGUGAUGAAGAUACAAUGAGCACAGAUAUGGACAGACUGAAUAAGCUCUGCCUAAAGAGGGCUAUUAAUUUGACCACCAUGAAAAGUACAAUAUAUAAUCAGUAAAAUAUGUUCUGCCUUUUCAUGAGUCUAAAUAGUUUCCAUUAAGACUUAACACAACAAACUUCAAUAAAAAACAUUAAAAUUGUAUUUGGGGGUUGUAAGAUAUGGCAUUUUUUUGGGGAAAUGAUUUAUUACAUUAUGUUGUGUAUAUAUACAGAUUUUAUUUAUAUUAUUUACAUCCUGAGGAUGCUCUGACAGAGAUCCAAAUAUCCUGAACAUCCAUGCUGAAAUUCUUGUGGUUGUAGGCAGGCAAAUGUUAUUAAUAAAUAGCAGAAAGUUUGGGAACAGAGGAAGUCUUCCCUGUUGGCUUGAGUUUGCAUGGCGGAAUUCCACGUGGGUGUAGGAGUGGGGGAAGUGAAGUAUUUGUGAAACCAGCAAAAAUGAAUCAUCAAGCAGCCUUUUUUUAAACUGCACUUUAUACUCUGGGAAAGUGAAAUUAUAAAGAAAUUCAAUGCUACAAUAAUUUCCUUGUCUAUUGAGUGAGGACAGUGAAUAUUAAGUGUAGUUAUGUAUGAAGCACUGUCCAGAGAGAGGUCACUGCAAAACCAAGCAACUUCCUAUUGGUCAACGCCAUGAAUUUGCGACUAAUCAACUAAUCAUCCUUAAUUAUUGUGCGUCCAUGAGAAUAUAAGUGAAGCUGUAUUUCAAUAUAAUUUCCCUCUCAAUAUAAUUUAAGAUAUGUCCUUUAUAUUUAUGUUUUAUAGUUGUACAACUUUGUGCACUCAUUAUUAUUAUAUUUAUAUUGUUUUUCUAUGUUUCAUUAAUGUUUGUACAUGUUCUUUCCUUGCUUAUUUCUCAUGGUUAUGUAAUUUUAGUGUGUAAUGUGUAAUUAUUGAUAAGUAUUUCAUGAUUCUAUUAUUAUAGCAAUGCAAGUGUAUACAGUACAGUAAAGUACAUUACAGUACUUCAGUAAAAUAUUGAGGGAAUGAAGUAAGCUUGUGUAAACUUGUACUUUAAAAACCUUCCACUGCACCACCAACAAACACGUAGCUUCUUAUUUUCAUUUGAAAUGUACUGUAGACAUGUUUGAACUCAAAUCUCAAAGGUCACACUUUGAUGAGCUCCGACUUUUUUGGCACGACCAUUUCAACACUAGACCGCAAUGCCAUGCAUAAGCGGCAGCCUGGAAUUUGCCAUAAAAUGUCAAAACUCUUAGAAUUUUGAGAAAAUGUUAAUUUACACCGGCUUUCAAUUUCUGCUCCUCAUCUCUUAGUUGCUUUGUGAUUUAUGUCUAAGGUAUUUCCCUUCAUGUCCAGCUACCAAUCAAGGCUUUUGUGAUCAAAAAAAGAAAAGAAGUUAAAAAAAUAGUUUAUGACAGAGGAGAGAAUUGCCUAUUUAAACACCUCCAAAACAACAUUCACAGUGUCAAUAGGUGAGUUCAAUUGUUUAAUAGAAUGGUUAAAAUUGCAAAACAUCUUCAUCUGGGAUUUGAACAUGGGACACAUCACACCAAGUGGGUUAGUCAUACCCCUUUUAUGCUACUAUUUUAUGCCAGCUACUAUUAUCAGUUAUUGUUGUUGUUUUUUAUUGUGCUAUUUGUAUGCAUCGUUGAUUUUUUUUUUUUUUUGGGGGGGGGCUAUAAUUCAUCCUUUCUUAAUGUAGUAUAUGAUAAUACACAGAUGCUAGCCAUUUCUUAUCCAUCCCCAAAAUCCCAAACUGUAUACCCCAAGAACACCUAGACCACCUACAUGUAAACCCUCCCUGUAAAUCCACAUUUAAGCACAAUAAAUAGUUGGUAAUGUUGCUUAUACCUCUGUGGCAGGGCGGAGGGCGGGGCCGGGUCAUGGUGAUAAACACCCGGUCCCUUAUCAGGCUAAUCAAGCCUCCGAGAGGGAUUGUGCGGGAGAGAGAGAUGGUUUACGGACAUGUCCGUCAUGUGUGUUGUUGUCUUUUAAGUUUAUAAUUAAAAUAUUGUUUACAUUAUCAAGCCGGUUCUCGCCUCCUCCUUUCCAUUGACUUCUUUACAAUCUCAUUCUUCUACCACAAAGAUGACAAUUUAAGAAUUAUUUGAAAAAGCCAAACCGCACACCUUUAAUUGAUUGCCAUAGAAUAUAUUGCAAAUAAUGUAUUUUGUUCAACGAUACCUGUAACAAUACCAAGAUCUCACACUUCAUAAAAACAUUCCUGUCUCGAAACAUAAGACUUGUACUAAGAGCAUAAAAGUAUAUCUUGAAAUCAGUCUCAUUUUCUUUCAAUUCCCUUUUUUUCUCCCUUCUUAUUCUGGUGUCUUCUUUCUUUCUCAUAGCCUUUUUUGUCUUUUCUGAUCUUGCAUUUUAUUGCAUGGUUUAUAGCUAAGAUUUUCUGUAGGCAAAACAUUAUUUUAUGCAAAUGAAUUCCCAUAGUUUUCAAGUUGUGCAUAAACAACCAUGUCUAGGGCAGGGCUUGUAUUACUCCUCAAGUUCUCUUUGUUCCUUAAAUAUCACAUCUAUGGAUAUUCCCUCCCCUUUCCUCUGUUUUUUCAGACUAUUUUGAUAAUAUUUUCCAUUUUCCAUGAAAAGAACUGCAGAAUGCAAGGCAGUCCGUAAACCACAUAUCCUACGCUUCAGAGAUUUUAUUAAGAAACACCCUUCCUAUAAAGCACAUUGCUUGCAUUCCUGAGAUUUCCCCGGUCUGAAUCGGGUGGUUGAGGAGUGUGACGAAGAUGAGGCUGUGGUUGGGCUGUCAGGACGCUUGCCCGGUGCUGAAUUGGCGAGCCAGAGGCACCAGUUCAAGAGAGAGACACAUGUAUUUUGUUUAAGUUCAUUUAUGUCAAUAAAGUUAUGUUGACUUUU
Molecule: long non-coding RNA, 8567 nt
Organism: Xyrauchen texanus (razorback sucker)
Lineage: Eukaryota; Metazoa; Chordata; Actinopteri; Cypriniformes; Catostomidae
Exons: 2
Source: RefSeq, a predicted model, not a curated record